GUGUGCGUCUGGCUGAAUGCUGAUCGCUGAGCUGAGAACUCGACGAAGCCGAAAGUAAUUCUACUCAUAGACAGCCAAAAACAAAAACACAACAAUACAACAACAAGUAAAACAAUACAAUAAUACAACAGCAAAAGCAACAAUAACAAACACAACAACUUGCUACAAAAACAAAAGAAAAGACAAUAAAAUAAAACAUAAAUGCGCUGAGACAGUUUUUGGCCGGCAGCCGCAUCGAUGACGUAGCCGUCGUCGUGCGAUACACGAGACAAGUCGUCAGACGAGGCGUAUGCGGUUUUGUUGAUGAGGUUAUUAAGUCAUCAGUGACAGCAGUUUUGGUGGCGACGUUGCGUGCUCUAUUCGCAGCUUUUAACCCUGCGGGAAUAACGCCCGGUCAUAUCGACCCGAAAGGUAAAUAGCAAACGGCUUUAUAUAAUAAACAAUCAGACAACGAAGCUUUACCAUACUACUCAAGGCAGCCAAGGGGUAUGGAAAAAUGAAGAUGAAAUCAUCUCAACAAGUGAAGAGAAGGUCUUCCCUCCCAAGAUAACCCGUUAUGAAAAGGGCACUCUUUACAAAGAAGUUUAAAGUUAACCUCGCCAUUAAAGAUGACUACAAAGAUUCCACUCGUGAUCUACUGAGGGGCUGAACAUCAGUUUGCCAGCAUGUACAAAUCCUCUGGGUGCUUGAGCAUAAAAGUGUACUAGGCAACUAUGUAAGAUGGUGGAACCAUAACCUGGUGGGGUCACACACCAUAAAGGAACUGCCUCGCAAUGAGAUAUGGCAAACCUCUUCAGAGACGAAUUCCGUCUAUUAGUCGCAUUCUACACUCACCACCACAGGCUCAAGAAGCCACUGUCUAAUAUGGGCAUAAGCUCUUUUGCAAACUGCCGGUUUAGCAAUAGAUCUUAAUGGGUUACAUGGGUUUACGGGUUUCAAAAAAUCGAUUUUUUAUUGCCGUUUUUAAAUGCCUUUUUCUCGAAACUGUAGUUUUGAAGCAGGUUGACAAGAUUUCUCGAGAACUACUUAACCGAUCUUCAUGAAAUUUUAUAAAGGUUUUUGAGAUACAAUUCUUAAAGACUUGGACGAAGGAUUUUUUUUUGAUUAGAAAUAUUUGAAAAUAAUUUUUGAAAAGAGACUGUUUUUUACCCGCAGAAACCCUAGUAAUCCCUUAAGUUGCAGUGCAAAUUUCAAUUAAAUUCUUCUUUAUUCACAAUAUCAAACCUAGAUCCCAAAUAGAGAUGUUUACAGCUAUUAAAAUCAGUUUUCAUCUAAGGAGGAUCAGACAAAUUCUUUUUUGAAUGAAACAAAGUCAAUGCUCAAAUUUCAGCUUUAUGGAAACUGUUAAUGCGUGCUUUAGCACGCCGAGUACGCAUUGCUCCAUUAGUGAGAAAAAAGACAAAGUUGAUUUGAGGUCGUUAAACAAAUUGAUAAUUGGAAGAUUAAAAUCAUAAAUGGAAUUAUUUACAAACCGAUAAUUCGGCUAAACUGAAAACAACCAGUACAUUCUGCGUCGAAAGUAUGUGUACAUGAGAAUUGAAAGCCGCCUCAACCCAAUGACAAUAGCAUCAACUUACACUAUGGGUACUUGAAAGUUUUGGAAAGAAAAAUUGCUUCGAAUAAAUAAUUUAGAAAAUGGCUGCAGAAGAAAUUCGGAAAGACUGGUUAGACAAUAAUUAAAUUACGAUUCGAUUAACUUCUGUUAUAUCAGAAAUUCCCAAAAACGUGGAGCAUAUAAAGAAUUCAAAUUAUGGAGAAAGUGCACUCAGACUUUCUGGCUAUGGCGUCUUAACAAAACCAGUAUAUCUUUAUAUCACAUUCUCCGCAAUAUUUCCAUAAAAAUUCCUCAAACUUCAAAUGAUCUUAGAGUUAAAAUCUUAAGGUCAAAGUUCUGCGGCAUUUUUGACAACAUUUCGGUCAUACGACAAAAGCAUUCGCCCUAAAAGUAAAAUUUUAGUAAAAUUCAAAUCUCGCUUCUAAAAAACCUGAAAGAACAUUUUCUAAAAAAUUCAAACAAAGAAGUCCUUCUUCAACAAAAUCGACAGUACGCCGACCUGAUUUCGGACGCAGUGCGGACACGAUCCGGGAGCCAUUCUCAGAGGAGCUUUAACACCUUACCGACUUCAUCUGAGUGAAUGGCCCACUUAGAGUCAAAGCACCACCAAAUGCUGACGAAGACCUGGAGUUACCACAAGAAUCUAAAGUGACCCUUGCGCAACUUCGUUUUGGUUUCGGUAGCAGGUUAAACUCCUACUUAUCCAGAAUCGACCAUAUACUUAUAUGUAUGUACGUCCAGCAUACAAAGGAUCCCUCUGAACAACCUUCUCUCUAUGGUCAGAACCCGUCGAAACAGCUUUUUCGUGAACCUACCGCUAUCGAAUCGUAAAUCGUCAGAUACGUUUUUGUAGAAUAUUCCAUUUCCUAUAAAAUCUAUGUAACCCGAUAUUUUACCAGUUCUUGAAAACUUCUGUUGCAAUUAAAAGCUCACACUUGGAGUUAUUUUCUUAGAAGUGACUAAGAACCUAUUUUUCAGAGACCAAGCAAGUGAAAACAAUCGUUUUUUUAUCCACUCUACACAUGAACUGAAUCCAUUAUACUUUUUUUUUUACUUUUUGUUAAGGCACAACAAUGCCGGUCCACCCACUAGCCUGUGCCGGCUGAUUCCAUGUGACAAUUUGACAGCUUUAGUGUCAGUCAUUAUCAAUAUUCUAAUGACAUGACAGCCCGGCAAUUCUUCACAGGCAUAUAAGAGUGCAGGUAUGUAUGUAUGUACAUAUGUGCAUGUGGACGGCUUUGUGUGUGUGCGUGUGGAUGCACCACCCUCACUGUUAUAUUCACACAGUUUCCACUUUGUUGUACAUUUUUGCCUAAUAAAUCACUGGUGCACGAAUAUCGGUGAGCACUGGCAGUGUCAACUCUUAUAACAACAAUAACAAAAAAUAAACUAAACAUUACAACAAACACAUGGAGGCUUGAAGACAGCACUUGAUUCUAAAUAUAGCUGCGGAUCUAAGCGGAUCUCCACGAAGCAAAAAGCGAUUGCGAAUAUAAAUUAAAUCACAAGGUGAACGCGAGAAAAAAUUAUAUAAUUAAAAGUCAGAAACAACAAAUUAUGACGUAUGUAUGUUGUUUAUGAGGUGACACACCGCCAGCAAUGGGUAAAAAAUAACGUUCAUAGAAGACUCAAAGAACGCAACGUCACUUAUGCCAACAUACAUACAUACAUACAAAGCCUGUGGAAUUCCAGCAAAUUAAACCGAAUUUCUGAAUAGUAACUGCAUUUUGUUUAUUUGCUUUGGCUUCAAGCUGGUUGUUGUUCAUUCAUACUGUUAACUCUAAUGAGUCACUAACCAGUCAACAAGUCACAAACUACUCCAUCCAUUGAGAAUAAUCGUUGAUACUUAACAAACGACUGUUACUUUUUGAAAUGUAAAUUAGUCUAUUAUAAAUCAUCCGCAGCAAAAAGCUGCAAAAACGUAAAUUAAACGAUUAAUAAAAGUGGUUUUUAACAGCAAAAGAUGCUGCGGGAUCGGCUAGCGCUUUUGAACGAGGCGUUAUAAGCUGGCGCUUACACCUGGCUUCACAUGACUCGAAGGUCAAAGGCAGUAUAGAGCAUUUUUAGAUUGUUUAUCUUAUAAGUUUCACUAUCAUAGACUUUAAUGUUAAGUUCGAAACUGCACAACUUCGUUCAGUUAAUAAGAAUUGGAACAAUAAAGUAACCCAUAAACUAAAAUUAAUAGUAAAUUGACAUCCACAGUUCUUCGUAGGCUUAAACAUGGAGUUCUUAGACCACACUUUCAACACUAUAAGGAACAAAUAUCACUAAUUGAAACAAAAACAUGCAUUUAAGUCAUUCGCAGCAACAGUCAGGCCAGACUGACCGGCUAUUUCAAUCCUUGAUCGUGUUUUUCUAGUAACAUCGUUUGCAAAGUCGGUGGUCACGAUUUAUCAAAAACUAGUGAAGCGAUCUUAUUGAAAAUUUUCACAGUUCUUCCAAAUAGAAUGACUUCGUGAUUGAUCUCCGGGUUUUAUGUUUCGAUUUCAAAAAAAUUUUUAAGGCAACUUGUGGUGAAAAAUAAACCUAAAAUCAUACUGUUUUGUAUCCAACUUUGCCAAAAUUUAUUAUUUUUUUUUCAAAUCCAACGAUUAAUCACAAACUUUACUCAUCUACUAACCGCUGAA
This is a long non-coding RNA of Bactrocera neohumeralis, 4182 nucleotides long. RefSeq lists it as uncharacterized. The record is from RefSeq and is a predicted model, not a curated record. The transcript has 3 exons. NCBI's taxonomy places the organism in Eukaryota, Metazoa, Arthropoda, Insecta, Diptera, Tephritidae.